Molecule: ribosomal RNA, 1237 nt
Filed under: Bacillus cereus
Lineage: Bacteria; Bacillati; Bacillota; Bacilli; Caryophanales; Bacillaceae
Description: partial 16S ribosomal RNA
Rfam family: Bacterial small subunit ribosomal RNA
Source: RNAcentral
GUAAAUUCACGGCCACCGGGGCGGGCUAUGAUGCAGUCGAGCGAUGGAUUAAGAGCUUGCUCUUAUGAAGUUAGCGGCGGACGGGUGAGUAACACGUGGGUAACCUGCCCAUAAGACUGGGAUAACUCCGGGAAACCGGGGCUAAUACCGGAUAACAUUUUGAACCGCAUGGUUCGAAAUUGAAAGGCGGCUUCGGCUGUCACUUAUGGAUGGACCCGCGUCGCAUUAGCUAGUUGGUGAGGUAACGGCUCACCAAGGCAACGAUGCGUAGCCGACCUGAGAGGGUGAUCGGCCACACUGGGACUGAGACACGGCCCAGACUCCUACGGGAGGCAGCAGUAGGGAAUCUUCCGCAAUGGACGAAAGUCUGACGGAGCAACGCCGCGUGAGUGAUGAAGGCUUUCGGGUCGUAAAACUCUGUUGUUAGGGAAGAACAAGUGCUAGUUGAAUAAGCUGGCACCUUGACGGUACCUAACCAGAAAGCCACGGCUAACUACGUGCCAGCAGCCGCGGUAAUACGUAGGUGGCAAGCGUUAUCCGGAAUUAUUGGGCGUAAAGCGCGCGCAGGUGGUUUCUUAAGUCUGAUGUGAAAGCCCACGGCUCAACCGUGGAGGGUCAUUGGAAACUGGGAGACUUGAGUGCAGAAGAGGAAAGUGGAAUUCCAUGUGUAGCGGUGAAAUGCGUAGAGAUAUGGAGGAACACCAGUGGCGAAAGCGACUUUCUGGUCUGUAACUGACACUGAGGCGCGAAAGCGUGGGGAGCAAACAGGAUUAGAUACCCUGGUAGUCCACGCCGUAAACGAUGAGUGCUAAGUGUUAGAGGGUUUCCGCCCUUUAGUGCUGAAGUUAACGCAUUAGCACUCCGCUGGGGGAGUACGGCCGCAAGGCUGAAACCCCAAAGGAAUUGGCCGGGGCCCGCCCAGCGGUGGGAGCAUUGUGGUUAAUUCGAAGCAACGCGAAGACCUUACCAGGUCUUGACCAUUCCUUCUGACACCCUAAGAAUAAGGCUUUCCUCCUUCCGAGCAGAGGACAGUGGGUGCAUGAUGCCGUCAGCCUCGGUCGUGGAGUGUUGGUUAAGUCCCCCACCGAAGCCCAACGUUGAUCUUAGUUGCCAUCUUAAGUGGGCACUCUAAGGUGACUGCCCGGUGACACACCUGAGAAGGUGGGAUAGACUCAUUCUAUGGCUAUAGACCUGCUCACACCGUGUCUCCUAUGGGAGCGUACCAAAGAGAGCCUGC